ACUGAUAAUCUAACAGUGGAGAUAAUAAAUAAACAACUAUGUACAAUAAUAAAUAGGAAUUUAUUCACCAAGAGAAGGCAGUAGAAUUAAGAUGAGUUGGGAAAGACUUCCCAUAGAGAAUGGAAUUUUAGAUAACACUUGAAAGAAGCCAGGGAUGGAAGCUCCAUGAAACAGAUAAGGAAGGAGCAUGUUCUAGGCAAGGAGGACAGCCAGAGAGAAUGUCCAGAACCAAGAGAUAAAAGGGAUUGUUCAUUAAACAGCCAGGAGAACGGUAUCAUGGAUUAAAGAGGACAUGGAGGAAGCAAGGAAUAAGAAGACUGGAAAGUUAAAAGGAUAGGUUUUGAAGGGGGUUGAAUGCCACACAGACUAUUGUGUGUUUACUUCUAGAGGUUUCACAGAAGUUUCUUUUAGGAGGAAUAGGUGAGACUUUCAUGAUAUAGUCAGACUUACAUUUUAGGAACUUUGACAGCUGAAUGGAGAAUGCUUUGAAAUAGGGAGAGACUAGUGGCAGGCAGACCUGCCAGCAGCUAUUGGAGUCCUCCAGGAAUGAUGUGAUGAGGUCCUCUACUAAGGUAAUAGCAGAAUCAGAGAGGAAAGGGAUGCUAAUUUGAGAGAUGCUACAAAGUAAAAUAGACACACUUUGGAAUACCUUGGAUAUGGAGGGGGUAAGAGACUAUGAGCUAUCUAGGAUAAUACCUUGGGCUGAAGAGGCAGAUUUGAGAAUUAUCUAGGAGAUUAAUAAUUAAAUUCAUGGGAGCUGAUGGGAUCAUCAAGUGAAGUAGUAUAGAGGAAGAAGAAAAGAAGAUCAAGAAGGACACUGUUGGUUAGAGGGAAUGAUCUGGAUGAGGAUCCAGCAAAGAGGACUGAGAAGGAAUGAUCUCAAAGCUAGAUGGCAUGGUGGAUAGAGCAAUGGACCUGGAAUCAGGAAGAUCUGAAUUUGAAUUCAGCCUCAGACUCCAUGUAAAUUGUGAUUCCAGUAGAGGGUGGGGAAAAAGAAGAUGUACGGAGAUAAUUUGGAGAUAAAAAUAAAAGUGAUUUUUUUUUUAAAGAAAAAGAAGAAAUAAGAAGAUAUCUAGAAGCUAGCAUUUGUGUUGAUGGACUCUUACCUGAAUUUCUUCCACAACACUGACAAAGACCCUUGGAAAGUCCAUUUGCCAUCACCACCACCCUUUUUUAAUGUUUGAUACAAUAAUUAGAGGAUCAAUGAACAAGUUAGUGUCUGUUCCUUUUCCAAAACUGUUAAGUGACCUAGUAGUUAGUUUGGACUUGGAAUCAAGAAGGUCUGAGUUCACAUCCUACUUCAGACACUUACUAGCUGUGUAGUUCUGAGCUUCUCUCAGACUCAGUUUCCUCAUCUAUAAAUUGGAGACAAUAAUAGCAUCUAUCUUACAAAAUUGUUAAAAGAAUCAAAUGAGAUUAUAUUAUAUAAAAUACUCUGUAAGCCUUAAAGUGCUAUAUAAAUGUUAACUAUUAUUAUCAUUUUUAUUUCAACGUAUCUUGUAUAAUUUUAAUAUCUAUUUGGGAAACACGUUCAAGGCAGAGGUUCUUAAUCUGGGUAGGUGAAUUUGUUUUUCAAAGAAUAUUUUGGUAAAUCUAUUUCAAUAUAAUUGCCUUCCUUUGUAAUUCUAUGCAUUUUAUGUUAUGCAUCCAUAAUAUUAUUUGGAGAAGAGAACCAUAAUCUUCAACAAACUGCCAAAGGGGACCAAGACACAUACAAAAUAGUUAAAAAGCCUUCUCUAAGGUGAUAUUAAUUGAUGAUGCUAAUAGAAUUUUAAAAAUAUAACCAACUAAAG
This is a long non-coding RNA of Antechinus flavipes (yellow-footed antechinus), 1793 nucleotides long. RefSeq lists it as uncharacterized. The record is from RefSeq and is a predicted model, not a curated record. The transcript has 3 exons. NCBI's taxonomy places the organism in Eukaryota, Metazoa, Chordata, Mammalia, Dasyuromorphia, Dasyuridae.